Molecule: long non-coding RNA, 3937 nt
Filed under: Olea europaea (common olive)
Lineage: Eukaryota; Viridiplantae; Streptophyta; Magnoliopsida; Lamiales; Oleaceae
Description: long non-coding RNA (OEUR_LNC001891)
Source: RNAcentral
ACUUUUUUAUUCUUUCAUUUCUCUCCUCUCACAACAAGAAAGAAAAGCCAACAUAUUCUCUCCCAUCAUCAACAGUAACGUCGAUCAUCACCUGACCGGUCGAGACGACACGUCGACUAUGGCGCGCCGUCUCUUCACCUGUUUUGGCAAAGGCUCCUCGCAUCAUAAGCGAGAAAUUUCGUACGAAAAUACCACGUCGGAUAUGACGGUGGAGGAGCAGCGGAGAGGCGGACCGGUGGUGGUGGAGCUCUUUUCAUCACAGGGCUGUGCUACCUCUCCAGAGGCGGAGCUGCUCUUCUCACGGCUAGGGAGGGGCGAUUUCAACCUUGAGGUGCCGGUGAUAUUGUUGGCUUACCAUGUUGAUUAUUGGGAUUAUAUGGGCUGGAAGGACCCUUUUGGGUCGAGCCAAUGGACUGUGAGGCAAAAGGCCUACGUUGAGGCCCUGAACCUUGAUACAAUGUUCACACCCCAAAUUGUGGUCCAGGGUCGGGCCCAAUGUGUUGGUAAUGAUCAGGAUGCUUUGUUAUCCUGCAUCGCGUCGGCACCGCGAGUUCCUGCUCCCUCGUUCCAGGUUAGCAAAUUUUAUUACAUCUAUAUUAUGAGUGAUGAUUGGUGUAUAGAUUCAUGGUUUACAGAACUCUUACCAACACUUCACAUGGGGGGUGGGGAGAGAAGAGUGGGUUAAUUUUUUAACAUUAUUUAUUCAUGUGGGACCCAUAUUUUUAUGAGAGUAUGUACACAUUCUGUUAAAAAAAUGAGAAUUUUGGGUAAAAUAUAUUUUGAAAUAGUAAUUUUUAGAAGAAUGUGUGUUUAAAAAAUUAUUUUUUUUUAAAAUUUAUGUUUAAUAUUAUUUUAUUAGAGAAUGUGCGAUUAAGAAAAAGAAAGUAAAAAAUGUACUAAAAUUUUAAUGGAAGCCAAACAAGAACAUAAAUUAUCUAACAUAAUAUUUAAGAGACCAUGUUUGGGAUAGAUUAAAGUUAAAUUUUUAGUGGAUUUUUAUAAAAGUUAAUGAAAUAUGUCGGGAUGACAAAAAUCGCCACCUCGCCUCAAUUGGACGCCCCCCCGACAGGUUGGCGGAGCAGCGUGGGGAAGGGAGGCCCCGAACCCGCCCCUGUGAAGAGAAAAAUAAAAUAAAUAAAUAAAAAUAGUAAAAAAAACAAUAAAAAAAUAAAUGGGGGUGGGGCGGAGUUUGGUGGGACGGCCUCGCCCCAAAUCUGCUCCGCUCCGCUGCCAUCACUAAAAAUAUAUGAUUGAAAAGUUGUAAGCCAUGCAAUGCGUAAUUAAAAUUAAUUAUUGAUUUCAACUCAAAAUUACCAUCAACUUCUAGUCUAUAUUAAGUAGGGCCUAAUGUAAUGGUUGCAUUCUAUCAUGAAAUUAUCUGGUUUUUUAUUAUUUUAUUAUUUAUUAGUGUUUGCUUAGUCCUUGUUUGGUUCAUUUGAAAAAGUUGAUAAAAUCUAAGUCAAAAUCAACAAUUAAUUUCAAUCUCAUAUUUCAUCAACUUUCAUCGAAAUUUGCUAAAAAUACGAAUUUUUGCUACACCAAACAUAGUUUUAGUAUACAAAUAAUUGUAUGCAAUUUUCAUUUGUGUAUAGCUUAAUCGAAAUUCAUCGAUCACAUCACUUAAUAUUCCUAUUACCAGCGUUGUGGCGGGCGGACGCUAAGACAAGCUAAAUCUUCUAAUCGAUAAUUAGGCCAAAGAAGGAACUUCAAUUUCAUUAAUUGAUUUAUCUCUCUAUCAAGGUGAUUACUGUCAUCUAGAACUUGGCUGCUAUUCUUUUCGUUGCAAAAUACAUGAUUUCUAUCUACAUCAUUCCUAUUCUUUGAAUUGAAACAAAUUUCUAUCGGUCAACUAUUCAAUCAAAUGAUAUUGAGCAUGUUUCCCAUCUCUUCUCGAGAAAUAAGUGGGCUAUUUCUUUGCAAAAUUGUGCUCAAUUUCAUAUGUGGCAAUUCCGCGAAGAUCUCUUAGUUGGGGGAAGAAUCUGCACAAACGGAUUUUUUGAGGAACGUAUCAAGAGAGAAUUUGAUUUGGUUAGACAAUGUGUGGUUGGUAAACAAGAAUCGGUUUUUUAGGAAGGUACGGAAUGUAUCGUCAAAUAUUCAAUAUGAUUAUACAAGAUCUAGUUUCAUUCAAGUAACGGAUUCUAGCGAACUGAAAGGAUCUUCUGAUCAAUCCAGAGAUUAUUUGGAUUCCAUUAGUAAUGAGGAUUUGGAAUAUCACUCAUUGAUCAAUCAAAGAGAGAUUCAACAACUAAAAGAAUGAUUCUUUGGGAUCCUUCCUUUCUUCAAAUGGAAGGAACAGAGAUAGAAUCAGACCGAUCCCCGAAAUGCCUUUCUGGAUAUUCCUCAAUGUCCCGGCUAUUCAUGGAACGUGAGAAGCAGAUAAUCAUCUGCUUCCGAAAAAAAUCGAAGAAUCUCUUGGGAAUCCUACAAGAUCCGUUUGUUCUUCAUAUGGGUUUGAAUCCUACUGAGAGGUCCACUAGAGAUCAGAAAUUGUUGAAGAAACAACAAGAUCUUUUUUUUGAACUUUCCAGGCGAUCAAAAAAUAAAGAAAUGGUUAAUAUAUUCAAGAUAAUUAUGUAUUUACAAAAUACUGCCUCAAUUCAUCCUAUUUCAUCAUAUCUGAGGUGUGAUAGGGUUCUAAAGGAUGAACCGGAUAUGGACAGUUCGAAUAAGAUUUCAUUCUUGAACAAAAAUCCAUUUUUUGAUUUAUUUCAUUUAUUUGUAAUAUUAUUUUAUUGAAAUAUGUGAUUGAGAAAAAAUAAAUAAUAAUGGGAGCCCAAACACGGGCCAAGAUUCCUUUUCUAGUAGCAUUUUCAAUAGGACACAAUAUUUGGACGGUUGAACAAACAUGUGUCCAACUCCUAAUUGUUGGUAACAUGUUCCCCACAUGUACCUACCUGCUCUAACCUUUUAUUUUCGCAAAUGACUAAUCGAUUAAGUCAGAACAAAUUCUAUAAGUUUUCGCACGGGUCUCUUUAUAAAUCCUUAUUGAAUGCUUGCUUGGUCGGAAUUUUGUUAAUUGAUUUUUUGAUCGUUAGAGGUAAAUUGGGUUUUAUCUGUGAGAUAAGAAUUCAAAAAUAAUUAUUGGAAUAGUGAAAUAACGAUAAAAAAAUUAAUUUUAAUUGAAUUUUAAACUGUACCAAACAUGCUCUUAAUUUUUGUUUGGCUUCCAUUUCUUAAAAUUCCUUUUUUCUUAAAAUUUAUUUUUAACUAUACAUUUCAUAGAACCUGCAACUUUUGUUGACUUUACAUGUACACAUUUCACAAACAUUUAUUAAAAUUUUCGUUUUUAUCAUAGUAUUAGAGAGUCGUUUGAUAAGAUUUUUGAAAAUUUAAAAGUUGCUUCUACCUUAUGAUCAAGUUCCUUUGACCUUAAUUUUGUAAGAAAAUACAUGAAAACUAGCUGUAUAUAGGAACAUAUAUGUGAUCCAUUCGCCACCUUUUUCUCUCUACCACCUCUCUUCUCUCUCAAUCUUUCUACCCUAUUUUCUAGUUUAUAUAUAUAUUUCUUACCAUACAUUUUGUUAUUCUCUCAUUUCUCUCCUCUCACAACAAGAAAGAAAAGCCAACAUAUUCUCUCCCAUCAUCAACAGUAACGUCGAUCAUCACCUGACCGGUCGAGACGACACGUCGACUAUGGCGCGCCGUCUCUUCACCUGUUUUGGCAAAGGCUCCUCGCAUCAUAAGCGAGAAAUUUCGUACGAAAAUACCACGUCGGAUAUGACGGUGGAGGAGCAGCGGAGAGGCGGACCGGUGGUGGUGGAGCUCUUUUCAUCACAGGGCUGUGCUACCUCUCCAGAGGCGGAGCUGCUCUUCUCACGGCUAGGGAGAGGUGAUUUCAACCUUGGGGUGCCGGUGAUAUUGUUGGCUUACCAUGUUGAUUAUUGGGAUUAUAUGGGCUGGAAGGACCCUUUUGGGUCGAGCCAAUGGACUGUGA